AAAUAGAGGAGUGGCGCACGGGUGAGUAACGCGUGGGAACCUGCCCUGGAGUGGGGGAUAACCCGGCGAAAGCCGGGCUAAUACCGCAUACGACCUGAGGGUGAAAGAUUAAUCGCUCUAGGAGGGGCCCGCGUCGGAUUAGCUAGUUGGUGAGGUAACGGCUCACCAAGGCGAUGAUCCGUAGCUGGUCCGAGAGGAUGAUCAGCCACACUGGGACUGAGACACGGCCCAGACUCCUACGGGAGGCAGCAGUGGGGAAUAUUGGACAAUGGGGGCAACCCUGAUCCAGCAAUGCCGCGUGAGUGAUGAAGGCCUUAGGGUUGUAAAGCUCUUUCGCCCGCGACGAUGAUGACGGUAGCGGGAGAAGAAGCCCCGGCUAACUUCGUGCCAGCAGCCGCGGUAAUACGAGGGGGGCAA
RNAcentral lists this ribosomal RNA (417 nucleotides) under uncultured bacterium. RNAcentral describes it as "bacterial SSU rRNA". It matches the Rfam family "Bacterial small subunit ribosomal RNA", at positions 85 to 537 of the family's 1533-position model. The record is from RNAcentral.